UCUGGUUCAGGAUGAACGCUGGCGGCGUGCCUAAUACAUGCAAGUCGAGCGAACGGACAGGAGUGCUUGCACUCCUUGAAGUUAGCGGCGGACGGGUGAGUAACACGUGGGUAACCUACCUAUAAGACUGGGAUAACUUCGGGAAACCGGAGCUAAUACCGGAUAAUAUAUACCUCCGCAUGGAGGAAUAGUCAAAGACGGUUCUGCUGUCACUUAUAGAUGGACCCGCGGUGUAUUAGCUAGUUGGUGAGGUAACGGCUCACCAAGGCAACGAUACAUAGCCGACCUGAGAGGGUGAUCGGCCACACUGGGACUGAGACACGGCCCAGACUCCUACGGGAGGCAGCAGUAGGGAAUCUUCCGCAAUGGACGAAAGUCUGACGGAGCAACGCCGCGUGAGUGAAGAAGGUUUUCGGAUCGUAAAACUCUGUUGUAAGGGAAGAACAAGUACGUUAGUAACUGA
RNAcentral lists this ribosomal RNA (463 nucleotides) under uncultured Macrococcus sp. RNAcentral's name for it is "bacterial SSU rRNA". It matches the Rfam family "Bacterial small subunit ribosomal RNA", at positions 18 to 469 of the family's 1533-position model. The record is from RNAcentral. Lineage: Bacteria; Bacillati; Bacillota; Bacilli; Caryophanales; Staphylococcaceae.